This 655-nucleotide long non-coding RNA is filed under the name Salmo trutta (river trout). RNAcentral describes it as "lncRNA (ENSSTUG00000002690.1)". Lineage: Eukaryota; Metazoa; Chordata; Actinopteri; Salmoniformes; Salmonidae. The record is from RNAcentral.
CCUCAUCAAUCUACACACAAUACCCCAUAGUGACAAAGCAAAAAAUAGUUUUUAGUUUUUAAUAUCACAUUUACAUAAGUAUUCAGACCCCUUGACUUUUUAAUUGUGUGUAGAUUGAUGAGGGGGGAAAAAAACAAUUUAAUCCAUUUUAGAAUAAGGCUGUAAUGUAACAAAAUGUGGAAAAAGGGAAGGGGUCUGAAUACUUUUCGAACGCACUGUACAUUCCGUACUGAUCAUUUGACUUGCCUUUUUCCAACUUGAAAUAGUUUUUUGUCUUUCUUUCCCACAGACUGCCAUUGCCAACAGUGGAGGGGACAAGGCAAUGGAAUUUGAUAAGAAUGAGGUGGUAACAAUGAACAACAGUUCAAUCACCCUCUAUAAAUGCCAAAAUCUGACAAUGAACUUCAUUUACAUUGAUGCUACACAGCAGAAGGCUGGAACUGAGUCUAAUGGUAAACAACCCCCAGUUAAGGAGAGAUGUUCCCAUUACAUUGUCACAGAGAUGAGGAAUGAGGUUGUGACAACUGCACCUUUGAAUUCAACUAUCAUCAAAGAUGGAGACAAUCCUGAUUCAAACCAUAGUGACACUGAUUUGAUCUGGCAAAUCAUUGGUGAGUGUUUAAGCAAAUCUAUCACCACAGCUUCCUCUGUAUGA